Molecule: long non-coding RNA, 1621 nt
Filed under: Panax ginseng (ginseng)
Lineage: Eukaryota; Viridiplantae; Streptophyta; Magnoliopsida; Apiales; Araliaceae
Description: long non-coding RNA (PGIN_LNC016308)
Source: RNAcentral
UUAGGAAUCUGUUGGGUACAUAUUGAAAAAAUUAAAUCUCUAUCUUGCAGAAUGAGUCAACAUCACUACAUAGUAGGGAUAGAGAUAAAGAAACUAUUGUGAAUGCUCUUAAGAAAUAAAUAUAAAAAAUCUGUUGGGUACAUAUUAAAAAAUAAAUAAAUCUCUAUCUUGCAGAAUGAGUCAGCAUCAAGUAGGGAUAGAGAUAAAUAAACUAUUGUGAAUGCUCUUAUAUGUAUGGAAUGAAGAGUUAAUUUUAGAGGAUAAUGCCAGCUGCUUCUGUUUCCCAUUCUGUUCGGAAACCAUACAUACGAAGUUAAUAUGUGAAAAUAUGAGUGUUAGAUUGCAUGAGACAUGUCAGUAUAUAAAGCAAUUCUGAUGGCAAAUCCUACCCAAACUUACCCAGUGUUCUGUUGUUAUAUACUCAAUGAUCUUGGGUGAUCUUUACUUAAAGUUAAGCCUUGGACGCUGAGUUAGGGAAGUGUCACGUUUAUAUAGGAAAAUGUUGCAUCAGUGCCCCUUGCCUAGUUAAGACAUUGUUGGGUGCGGGUUUAAGGUGGAAAAUUGGUAAUGGUUUAAGUUACUGCCUUUCAAGUGUAAUUUAGAUAAUAAUCUACUGGUGGCUGACCUUAUUACUAUAUAUAGGAGGGAGUUAGGGUUGGACCCGUCACGCCCGAUUUAAGGAUUUGAGGAAUGAAACUGUGCUACAUCCUCCAUUAAUUUCAUGCCCAACGGCAGUUGAUUCCUGGUUUGUGAGCCCACUUGGCUUUCAGUUUGUGAUCAGUUAGCUAAUGGAACCUUUGCAGAUUGGGUCACUUAUCUAUAUCUCAGUCGUCGGAUCGUUCUUACUUAAAUAAUACUAUAAUGGAAGACUGUUGUUUGAUGAGUUGUGAUUUUGAAGAUAUUGUUUUUAGUCAUGUUGGUUGAACUGGAAAUGGAAAUAGAGUAGCUCACGGCCUUGUGGAGUUUACCCGAUUGGAGUUUCAUGUUCGAAAAACAAACAAACAAACAAAAAAAGAGAGUUUAAAUUAGUUAAAAAAUUGGCUCUCAACUCUAAUUCCAAAACUUGUCAAACGUACUUAAUUGUAUUUUAACACUCUAAUUCUACUUGCAUGCCUAACUACACCCUAAUACAUGGGGGCUCUCCUCUCCAUCCUAGAAUGCUGGACUUUUCUAAAGAUUCUUUUAAUACAAGGGUAGGGUGAAAGCAUUAUGUUGAUAAAGAUAAUGUUUUUUUAAUCCAAUGAUCAAUAAUAAUAAUACUCGAGUUAAUAAUUUAACCAAUUAUUAUCAAAUUAUAUAACUUGAAUAUAAUAUAUGUAAAUUGCUUUAUGACCUCAUUGGGCAGGGACAAAAAUCCUAAAUAUAUAGAAUUAAUAUCUAAGACGUGAUAAAUACUUUUUUGGUCACUUUACUUUAGGUCAACUUACAAAUGAGUUCCUAAACUUUUUUUUCUUACAGUCAACUCACUAAACUUUAGUUUUCUUACAAACCGUUACAAAAAUCGUUAAGUCAUGUUGACUUUUAACAGUUUGACCAAUAUAAUACUGAGUUGUAAAAAAAGCGCUGACGUGGCAAUAAUAAUCCAACGUGGAAUAUAAUAAUAAUAAUUUCGAUAAUAAUA